CGUAGGGUGCAAGCGUUAAUCGGAAUUACUGGGCGUAAAGCGUGCGCAGGCGGUUUUGUAAGUCUGUCGUGAAAGCCCCGGGCUCAACCUGGGAAUUGCGAUGGAGACUGCAGGGCUUGAAUCUGGCAGAGGGGGUAGAAUUCCACGUGUAGCAGUGAAAUGCGUAGAGAUGUGGAGGAACACCGAUGGCGAAGGCAGCCCCCUGGGUCAAGAUUGACGCUCAUGCACGAAAGCGUGGGGAGCAAACAGGAUUAGAUACCCUGGUAGUCCACGCCCUAAACGAUGUCUACUAGUUGUCGGGUUUUAAUUAACUUGGUAACGCAGCUAACGCGUGAAGUAGACCGCCUGGGGAGUACGGUCGCAAGAUUA
This 369-nucleotide ribosomal RNA is filed under the name uncultured organism. RNAcentral's name for it is "bacterial SSU rRNA". It matches the Rfam family "Bacterial small subunit ribosomal RNA", at positions 526 to 896 of the family's 1533-position model. The record is from RNAcentral.